Non-coding RNA from Sapajus apella (tufted capuchin), 540 nucleotides. Lineage: Eukaryota; Metazoa; Chordata; Mammalia; Primates; Cebidae. The record is from the annotation of a RefSeq genome assembly.
UGGGACAUGUCAGCUAUGGCCUGGACCCCUCUCCUCCUUGGCCUCCUCGCUCACUGCACAGGUUCUGUGGCUUCCUAUGAGCUGACUCAGCCACCUUCAGCGUCAGUGUCCCCAGGACAGACAGCCAGUAUCACCUGCUCUGGAGAUGAAUUGGGGGAUAAAUAUGCUUACUGGUACCAGCAGAAGCCAGGCCAGGCCCCUGUGCUGGUCAUCUAUCAAGAUAGCAAGCGGCCCUCAGGGAUCCCUGAGCGAUUCUCUGGCUCCAACUCGGGGAACACGGCCACCCUGACCAUCAGCAGGGCUGAGGCCAGGGAUGAGGCUGACUAUUACUGUGCUACAUAUCAUGGCAGUGGGAGCAGCUGGCAGUGACUCACAGUGACACGGACAGAUGGAGACACGGGACAGAAACCUCUGCCUUAACGUGAUGUCACUCUUAGCCGCCCUCUAAGCGAUGACCGUGACCUUCACUUCAACUGACUCUGCCUGUUUCUCCUGCAGCCCAAGCAAGAGGAAAUUUGCAUCAGAUUUUUAUUUUUAUCG